GGGAUAGCUUGCAUUCAGAUGGCGACCGGCGCACGGGUGAGUAACGCGUAUCCAACCUUCCUGCCAGUAGGGAACAGCCCGGCGAAAGUCGGAUUAAUGCCCUAUGUUCUUCAAUGCGGACAUCUAAGUUGAAGGAAAGAUUCAUCGCUGGCAGAUGGGGAUGCGUCCGAUUAGCUUGCCGGCGGGUAACGGCCCACCGGGGCGAUGAUCGGUAGGGGUUCUGAGAGGAAGGUCCCCCACACUGGUACUGAGACACGGACCAGACUCCUACGGGAGGCAGCAGUGAGGAAUAUUGGUCAAUGGGCGUAAGCCUGAACCAGCCAAGUAGCGUGCAGGGAAUGACGGCCCUACGGGUUGUAAACUGCUUUUUAUGCGGGGAUAAAGUGCGGCACGUGUGCCGCUUUGCAGGUACCGCAUGAAUAAGGACCGGCUAAUUCCGUGCCAGCAGCAGC
RNAcentral lists this ribosomal RNA (452 nucleotides) under uncultured bacterium. RNAcentral describes it as "bacterial SSU rRNA". It matches the Rfam family "Bacterial small subunit ribosomal RNA", at positions 66 to 518 of the family's 1533-position model. The record is from RNAcentral.